Molecule: long non-coding RNA, 173 nt
Organism: Etheostoma cragini (Arkansas darter)
Lineage: Eukaryota; Metazoa; Chordata; Actinopteri; Perciformes; Percidae
Exons: 3
Source: RefSeq, a predicted model, not a curated record
CUCCUCAAAGCUAGAGACUCAGAAAUGGCACAUACUAAGGAAAGUUCAUUGUGGGACUGGCUCUAGUGGCUGUAAUUAUGCACUAAGGCUGAAUUUUGUUGAGGAGAUAUUGUAUUAGGGAACCACUAAGGUCUAUAUAAAAAGCAUACAAACAUCACCAUUUCAUGGGACCU